This 696-nucleotide ribosomal RNA is filed under the name uncultured bacterium. RNAcentral describes it as "bacterial SSU rRNA". It matches the Rfam family "Bacterial small subunit ribosomal RNA", at positions 141 to 823 of the family's 1533-position model. The record is from RNAcentral.
GAACAACUUACCGAAAGGUGAGCUAAUGCCGGAUGAGUUAUAUAAGUGCAUGUUUAUAUAGGAAAAGUUGGGGAGACCUGACGCUGAAAGAUGGACUCGCGUCCCAUUAGCUAGUUGGUAGGGUAAUGGCCUACCAAGGCGACGAUGGGUAGCCGGCCUGAGAGGGUGGCCGGCCACACUGGGACUGAGACACGGCCCAGACUCCUACGGGAGGCAGCAGUGGGGAAUUUUGCGCAAUGCUCGUAAGAGUGACGCAGCGACGCCGCGUGAAUGACGAAGGCCUUCGGGUCGUAAAGUUCUUUCGACAGGGAAGAAAAUGCCUAUAAGUAACUGUGUAUGUAUUGACGGUACCUGACCAAGAAGCCCCGGCUAACUACGUGCCAGCAGCCGCGGUAAUACGGAGGGGGCGAGCGUUGUUCGGAGUGACUGGGCGUAAAGAGCACGUAGGCGGUGUUGUAAGUCAUUAGUCAAAGACUAGAGCUCAACUUUAGUAAGGCUAGUGAUACUAUAAUACUAGAGUAUCAGAGAGGAUUGCAGAAUUCCUGGUGUAGCGGUGAAAUGCGUAGAUAUCAGGAGGAAUACCGUUAGCGAAGGCGGCAAUCUGGCUGGAAACUGACGCUGAGGUGCGAAAGCGUGGGUAGCAAACAGGAUUAGAUACCCUGGUAGUCCACGCUGUAAACGAUGGAUGCUAGGUGU